GUUUUAAUAGUUUAAUAAAAACAUUGGUCUUGUAAACCAAAAAUAAGAUUAUUUCUUUUAAAACU
Molecule: transfer RNA, 65 nt
Filed under: Protophormia terraenovae (northern blowfly)
Lineage: Eukaryota; Metazoa; Arthropoda; Insecta; Diptera; Calliphoridae
Description: tRNA-Thr
Rfam family: tRNA
About the family: Transfer RNA (tRNA) molecules are approximately 80 nucleotides in length. Their secondary structure includes four short double-helical elements and three loops (D, anti-codon, and T loops).
Source: RNAcentral